GUAUCCUACGGGAGGCAGCAGUGAGGAGUAUUGGUCAAUGGGCGCGAGCCUGACCCAGCAACGCCGCGUGAAGGAAGAAGGCUUUCGGGUUGUAAACUUCUUUUCUCAGGGACGAAGCAAGUGACGGUACCUGAGGAAUAAGCCACGGCUAACUACGUGCCAGCAGCCGCGGUAAUACGUAGGUGGCAAGCGUUAUCCGGAUUUACUGGGUGUAAAGGGCGUGUAGGCGGGAAAGCAAGUCAGAUGUGAAAACCAUGGGCUCAACCUGUGGCCUGCAUUUGAAACUGUUUUUCUUGAGUACUGGG
This 305-nucleotide ribosomal RNA is filed under the name uncultured bacterium. RNAcentral's name for it is "bacterial SSU rRNA". It matches the Rfam family "Bacterial small subunit ribosomal RNA", at positions 334 to 653 of the family's 1533-position model. The record is from RNAcentral.